CAGCCGCCGCGGUAACACGUAGGGUGCAAGCGUUAAUCGGAAUUACUGGGCGUAAAGCGUGCGCAGGCGGUUUUGUAAGACAGAGGUGAAAUCCCCGGGCUCAACCUGGGAACUGCCUUUGUGACUGCAAGGCUAGAGUACGGCAGAGGGGGAUGGAAUUCCGCGUGUAGCAGUGAAAUGCGUAGAUAUGCGGAGGAACACCGAUGGCGAAGGCAAUCCCCUGGGCCUGUACUGACGCUCAUGCACGAAAGCGUGGGGAGCAAACAGGAUUAGAUACCCCUGUAGUCCCUGUCUCUUAUAC
This 301-nucleotide ribosomal RNA is filed under the name uncultured bacterium. Its description in RNAcentral is "partial 16S ribosomal RNA". It matches the Rfam family "Bacterial small subunit ribosomal RNA", at positions 509 to 807 of the family's 1533-position model. The record is from RNAcentral.